Molecule: ribosomal RNA, 515 nt
Filed under: uncultured delta proteobacterium
Lineage: Bacteria; Deltaproteobacteria
Description: bacterial SSU rRNA
Rfam family: Bacterial small subunit ribosomal RNA
Source: RNAcentral
CGCUGGCGGCGUGCCUAACACAUGCAAGUCGCACGAGAAAUCCCGGGCAACUGGGAGAGUAAAGUGGCGCACGGGUGAGUAACGCGUGGGUAACCCGCCCUUGAAUUGGGGAUAACUCCGCGAAAGUGGGGCUAAUACCGAAUAAUAUUCUUUCUUCCUCGGGGGAUGGAAUCAAAGAUGGCCUCUGCAUGCAAGCUAUCGUUUAAGGAAGGGCCCGCGUACCAUUAGCUUGUUGGUAGGGUAAUGGCCUACCAAGGCAACGAUGGUUAGCUGGUCUGAGAGGAUGGCCAGCCACACUGGAACUGAGACACGGUCCAGACUCCUACGGGAGGCAGCAGUGGGGAAUCUUGCGCAAUGGGGGAAACCCUGACGCAGCAACGCCGCGUGGGUGAUGAAGGCCUUCGGGUCGUAAAGCCCUGUCAGGUGGAAAGAACAGUGGCGACGUGAAUAACUUCGCCAUUUGACGGUACCACCAGAGGAAGCACCGGCUAACUCCGUGCCAGCAGCCGCGGUAA